This is a long non-coding RNA of Pistacia vera, 1050 nucleotides long. RefSeq lists it as uncharacterized. The record is from RefSeq and is a predicted model, not a curated record. Lineage: Eukaryota; Viridiplantae; Streptophyta; Magnoliopsida; Sapindales; Anacardiaceae. The transcript has 6 exons.
GACACUUUAACGCUUGCCUUACUCUUAAUUUCGCAGUUAUACAGUUAGCAUUGCCGCUUUGGUAAUUGCUAUACUGAACAAUUUUGAACGUGUAAUUAACGUGAUUUCUCUUCUGGUUGUUGUAUUUACAGAAAAAAAAAUAUGGUUUUGCGUUUGAAGGUUCUCUCAUGAUGUACAAGAGCAAGCCUCGACCCGAGUCAAAAACAGAAACUAACCUAAGCGCAUAAUUGAUCUGAAGGUGAGACUAUGCUGUGAAUCUUGCAAUAACCAGCUCAAAAAGAUAUUGAAGGACAAGGGGUUAGAAAUGUUAACCGUGGAUGAGGAGAGACAUAUAAUCAAGGUCAGGGGCUCAAUGGAUGUUGCAGAAUUCAUAUCUGAUAUCCAGGACAAAUGAAGAAGGACAUCGAGGUGGUGAAUAAUGAAGCAGUCAUGUUUCCCCCCAAAGCAGAAAAUGGUUCUACCGAUGAGAAAGACGAAGGCAAAGAUGGGGACAGUAAGAAAGUGAAGGAUGAUGGUGCUACAAUAAAGAGUACAGUGGUGAACUUGAAGACGAGAUUAGAUUGUGAUUCUUGCAUUCGAAAUACCCUGAGAGCUAUCUUGAGUAUCAAAGGAGUUGAGAGGGUAUUGAUAAACGCAGGUGAAAAUCUAGUAGUGGUGGAGGGCACCAUGAAUGUGGAAAAAUUGACACCUUAUUUGAAAAAGAAAAUAAAAAAAAAGCGUGGAGAUCGUUCCCAUUAAAAAAGAAAAUAGCAACGGAGACGAAGAAUUUUAAUUUAGAAGAUGAAGAGCAUUGCGAUUGGAGUGGAGCAUGGAGUAAUGUGGAAAUGAUAUUGGCUCACAUUUCAUGUCUAAAUAAAAAUUCCUGCUACAUAUAUUGUUCUAAAGAGGGAUUUUUUAUUCUUUUCCUUAAAAAGGAUAUUGUAGAAGGUUUGAGUAAAUAAAAAUAUCGAUUUUAUAUUCAGUCAAACCUACUCCAAUAUCCUUGAAACUGAAUGAAAUUUUACAUUUUAUAAUUUAUUAACAGAUAUUUUUGAACUGAGGGCUAUCCAU